This 468-nucleotide ribosomal RNA is filed under the name uncultured bacterium. RNAcentral describes it as "partial 16S ribosomal RNA". It matches the Rfam family "Bacterial small subunit ribosomal RNA", at positions 28 to 507 of the family's 1533-position model. The record is from RNAcentral.
GACGAACGCUGGCGGCGUGCUUAACACAUGCAAGUCGAACGGAAAGGCCCUGCUUUUGUGGGGUGCUCGAGUGGCGAACGGGUGAGUAACACGUGAGUAACCUGCCCUUGACUUUGGGAUAACUUCAGGAAACUGGGGCUAAUACCGGAUAGGAGCUCCUGCUGCAUGGUGGGGGUUGGAAAGUUUCGGCGGUUGGGGAUGGACUCGCGGCUUAUCAGCUUGUUGGUGGGGUAGUGGCUUACCAAGGCUUUGACGGGUAGCCGGCCUGAGAGGGUGACCGGCCACAUUGGGAAUGGGAUAAGGCCCAGACUCCUACGGGAGGCAGCAGUGGGGAAUAUUGCACAAUGGGCGGAAGCCUGAUGCAGCAACGCCGCGUGCGGGAUGACGGCCUUCGGGUUGUAAACCGCUUUCGCCUGUGACGAAGCGUGAGUGACGGUAAUGGGUAAAGAAGCACCGGCUAACUACGUG